Long non-coding RNA from Esox lucius (northern pike), 2742 nucleotides. The record is from Ensembl. Lineage: Eukaryota; Metazoa; Chordata; Actinopteri; Esociformes; Esocidae.
GUAUGACAAGUGUCUUUUCUAAGAGAAGUGAAAGUAGUUGAGCAGAUUUUCUCCUGAGGGGGGUGUCUGUCUUUAACUGAAUGCUGUCUUUAACUGUCCUGGUGUCCUGUUUGACUUUAGGAGGACAUGAGCUCUUGGAUCAGGCCUCUAUAGUACCUGGCCCAAAUGACUCUCAGAAAUCCCUGCUGCUAAGUGCUUGUGGAUGUGUUGGGUAACAGGUUGCUGCACCACCUGUUCUUGUUCACCUGGUUUGGGUUUGGAUUCUGUUGGAGUCAGCUGAAAGGCCACCUGCCUUUGAGGUGUCUGUGUUCUGAUGAUUGCAAAACGUUGAUUUGGCUCAAAAAGUUAUUUUGUGUUGUCUUCAUCCAGCACAGCUAGAAAAGUGGCCACCCUACAGAGUCUGGUUCCUGUCUGUUUUUGCAAAUUUUGGUCCCUAUGAGGGAGUUUUUCCUAGCCACAGUGCAUUAACUGGUGUCACUUGCUCUUUUCAGGCUCACUGGAAGGCUGAAUGUUUGUCGUUUAAUUCGGCUUGCGGUGCCCUGAGGCUGCGGUGCCCUGAGGCUGAGGUGCCCUGAGGCUGAGUGAGAUUUUUGACAAACACAAUUUGCAGUGUGUCACGGCAAGACCUAUUACUGUAGCUUUACACAGUAUGGACGUGUUUUGUUCCACAGUUACAACAUGAGUAAUAACAAGGUUGCAGGUUUGAGAUGGUUGUUUAUGCCUGUGGAAAAAUAACUGGUUCGGUGUAGCCAUCUUUCUGAAAAGGUUGGGUUCAGAAUAAAGUUGGAAUUUUGUGUUGUAUUGCUGUUAUGUAUGGGCCAUUGAGGCUAUCGAAUCCUGUCAUGUUUAGAUUGUCAGGAGGGCUUUGAUGCAUUAAUCAGUCAAUUUAUAUGUCGUGAUAUUGCUUCUGUGUCCUUCCUAUGAAGUUAUUUCCACACUUUUCAAUGCCGUUGUCCAUUGAGAAAUCACUGGAGUAUAAUGUAGGUCUGUCAAGGAAGAUGUGUACUUUUGAAUUGCAGGGCAUGUGAGGAAAUAAAGUGUGAUGUGUUUGGAAGUCCCAAUGCAAAAGCAUCAUCAGCAGUCUUAUGACUGUCUAAGGGAUAAGUAAGUAAUGAGAACUGAGUGGGGGACACGUCAACAAAGAAUGUUGUUCUGUCUCUCAUCUGUCCUUUAAUGUGUUAGUGAGUAUUAGUAGGUGUUUAAAUGGGACUGUAAUGAUAGAACUUAUUAAUUUCUUCCUAAUGAGUGUGGUUGGGGGCUUGUAGUCUUGCUGUGGGUGGCUAUUUAGGUGUUAAAGAGACUCUGCACUAGUUACUUGCGGUAGGUGUCGGUGGACGGUUGUUAGAGUCUCUGACUGUGGUGUGGAAGGUUGUUGGUUCAAAUCAAAGUGGUUCUUGUGGGCUAUGUGUCGCUGGGGAUGAAGUCACGCAAUGACUUGGUGUGUUUGUGAGGUUGUGUGGAUGGUGGUGAGGUUGUAUGGGUGGUGGAUGGUGGUGAGGUUGUAUGAGUGGUGGAUGGUGGUGAGGUUGUAUGGAUGGUGGUGAGGUUGUAUGGAUGGUGGGUGGUGGUGAGGUUGUAUGGAUGGUGGUGAGGUUGUAUGGGUGGUGGUGAGGUUGUAUGGGUGGUGGAUGGUGGUGAGGUUGUAUGGGUGGUGGAUGGUGGUGAGGUUGUAUGAGUGGUGGAUGGUGGUGAGGUUGUAUGGGUGGUGGAUGGUGGUGAGGUUGUGUGGAUGGUGGUGAGGUUGUAUGGAUGGUGGAUGGUGGUGAGGUUGUAUGGAUGGUGGUGAGGUUGUAUGGGUGGUGGUGAGGUUGUAUGGGUGGUGGUGAGGUUGUAUGGGUGGUGGUGAGGUUGUAUGGGUGGUGGUGAGGUUGUAUGGGUGGUGGUGAGGUUGUAUGGGUGGUGGAUGGUGGUGAGGUUGUAUGGGUGGUGGUGAGGUUGUAUGGGUGGUGGAUGGUGGUGAGGUUGUAUGGAUGGUGGAUGGUGGUGAGGUUGUAUGGGUGGUGGUGAGGUUGUAUGGGUGGUGGUGAGGUUGUAUGGGUGGUGGAUGGUGGUGAGGUUGUAUGGAUGGUGGUGAGGUUGUAUGGGCGGUGGAUGGUGGUGAGGUUGUAUGGGCGGUGGAUGGUGGUGAGGUUGUAUGAGUGGUGGAUGGUGGUGAGGUUGUAUGAGUGGUGGAUGGUGGUGAGGUUGUAUGAGUGGUGGAUGGUGGUGAGGUUGUAUGGGUGGUGGAUGGUGGUGAGGUUGUAUGGGUGGUGGAUGGUGGUGAGGUUGUAUGGGUGGUGGAUGGUGGUGAGGUUGUAUGAGUGGUGGAUGGUGGUGAGGUUGUAUGAGUGGUGGAUGGUGGUGAGGUUGUAUGGAUGGUGGUGAGGUUGUAUGGAUGGUGGUGAGGUUGUAUGGGUGGUGGAUGGUGGUGAGGUUGUAUGGAUGGUGGAUGGUGGUGAGGUUGUAUGGGUGGUGGAUGGUGGUGAGGUUGUAUGGGUGGUGGAUGGUGGUGAGGUUGUAUGAGUGGUGGAUGGUGGUGUCUGGGUGCUUGCGGUGGCUGGCUUUGCAACACAGGUCCUGGGUCCAAGCUGCUGAGAAGUGGUGAGCGGCACUGACACCCAGCCCACGGAGAAGACUGGGGGUAGCGCUUACUACUAACCACAUUGACAUGUCAGAACAAUACUUUAAAGAGUGAAAAGACUGUGGAAAUGCUUGGGGUUUAAGGAUACUUCAGGGUGAUAUAUUGAACACACAUUCAUCUUG